Molecule: long non-coding RNA, 2587 nt
Organism: Carya illinoinensis
Lineage: Eukaryota; Viridiplantae; Streptophyta; Magnoliopsida; Fagales; Juglandaceae
Exons: 3
Source: RefSeq, a predicted model, not a curated record
AAGGGAUGCUUGUUCCCUUAGCGUUGCUCCUGUCAGAAAUAGUAGACUCUGAAUUGGGUACCACAAAAAGGGUUUGGAGCUAUCCCAAUGGCCUUAGUGGAAGAGCCAACUGGAUCAAUCCCCUUUGCUGCAUUUUGGAACUUCCGCCCAUUAAUCUUCCUCAUUCACUGUGUCAAUGCGAGUUGGUCCGCAGUAAUGUCCCAACACUUGACAGUAAGCAGUAAGCAGUCCACCAAUCGUACACCCAAUGAAUGGUGGUCCAUUCACCAUUAUCACACAGCACAUCAAAAAUCAAUCUUCUACUAAAAAUAUCCCUCCACUACGGGAGUUCUGUACUUUACCUCUUUGAGGAGAUAGUGUCAGUCUAUUUUGGGCGCUACCAGUUGAGAAAGAGGGGGCUUGUUCCGCAAUAUGCCAUGGCACACAAUCCAUUAAUCCUAACCAUCCCACAGUCUACAAGCGAGAGAAUUAACCAGUCGGCAGGGAAGGCGUUGGCCAACAAAUUAAAUAGCAGUUACCAUAGGCUUUUCCCAGUUCUUGCAUCCAUUCACAAUUACGCCCAUCUUUAUUCUACCAUGGUAUUUCCUUAAGUUGGGAAUGGAAAGAGGGGUUGAUGCGAUGCACACGCCCAUUACGGCAAAUCAAGCACCUUGAGAAAUGUGGUUCUACACUUCUACCACGAGGUAUGAGCUCUCAACAUCUGAAUUUUGACUUUCCAUGUCAGGAUCCCGAUCUGCAACUCCCUCCCUGCUAUCCUUUCUUAGUUUCCUCCACUUUGUUUUCCGCAACCAGUGCUUAACCAGCAUCACACUCAGAACAAUAAAAACCACUACCAGUGUGGCACCGCUUACUGCUAAUAGCAUCACGAACAUCCAUUUUGUCCCCGUAAUUUGAGGCAUCACCGCCCAAGUGGCUGCAACAUAACUUGUUGCCAUGAAUGCCACAGCUACCCACAUGGCCUUGUGAGCCACCGUCAACAAUAUCAUCAGUGGCUUUCUCUGGAAGGGGAUGAUGCUGACAAGAACAAUCACUAUGGACAGAGAGGUGAACAAUGCAAUGUUGUUGCUUAUCUCAAAGACCUUGAAAGCUAACGUUCCGCCUAAAAUUAACUUCCCUUUUGAUUUUCCUUGCUGAUAGAAACCACCAGGAGGGCUGAUUCCAGCAGCAAAAGUAACUGUUGAUAUCAAAAUGGCAACUAGUAUGAUAGUGUUCCUAGCAUUUUGCAAUGCUUCCAUGUAUAUUGCAUGCUGCUUAUGUCGGUAAUUUGUGUAACUCUCACCUAUAUUUUCCUGGAGCCCUUUGUUAAUAUGCUUGUGUUGACGCAUAUUAGGUGGGAAUAAGGAAUUCCUUCGGUAUGUUUCACAGUCGAAUGUCUCUCCAGCUUGAAACUGUGGUGAUGAUAUUCUAGAGCUGGUUCCCGGGCUGAAUCUAGGCGAGCUCUUGCUUUCAGGAGAAACCAUUUCAUUCAUCACGGGCAUUUCCAAUUCAGUAGCAAUGCAACGCUGCAUGAUAGGCAGACGUUGACUGUUGGACGUUCUUUCUUCCGCUGGUGAACGAGAUAACAAUUCGAUACUUCUUCUGCCACCGGCUUUAACAAACUUGGCUUCAAGACGGCGGUUUUCUGCACUGUCCUUAGCCUGGUCAAGGAUGUCAAGUGCUGUUUGCACCAAGUACACAAGCGCAUCGUAUUGUCCAUGUCUCACGGCCAGAUGAAACACCGACUCUCCCUCGUUCGUAUUAUAGCGAAAAGAUAGAGAAGCCAUGAGCACAAGCUCUUCAAGGACUGCAACUUUGCCAUUCAUUGAUGCCAUGUGCACUGGUAUGUAACCAUUAAUGUUGCGGUGCAGAGUGAGACUUGCAUCGCAGUUUAUGAGCAUCUGGGUUGCCUCCCUGUGUCCUUGGAUACAGGCAUAGUGCAGCAGCGAGUUGCCUUUCUCGUCGGUCGUUCGAGCCAAGUCAGGAUACGCAUUUAGUAACUCGAUAACAGCAUCUGCACCAGGAACUCUGACUUCAUGUUAAUUAAGUGAUUACAACUUUGUGAAUUCAUUAAAAAAAAAUUUUAAAAAGAAAAGGUGAAAAAAAAGAAAAAAGAAGAAGAAGAAGAUAUGAACCCUUAAUUACCUACCCAUAUGUCCGUUCUUUGCUGCCACAUGAACACAAGUCAGAUCGAAUACAUUUUCCUCUAAACCCAGCAUGCCAGGGUGGUUUAAGAAGAGAUUCACAACGUCGUGAUGGCCAUUACUGCAAGCCAUGAAAGAGGCAAGCUUGUUUUCAGAGUUCAGCAUACAUGCAGCCCUCGGAUUGGUCGUUAAUAGCAGCUUCAAAACCUCGGCAGACCCAUGGCGGCAAGCUUCAUGUAUCGGAGUCUCCAGCAUCUUGUUCUGAGCAGCAACCAAGUCCGGGCACAAUGUAACAAUUUCCGACGCCAAGUCAACGUGUCCGUACUUUGCAGCAAGGUGUAAUGCUGUGUCCAACGAGUCGGCUGUUCUCUGCUCAAGAACUCCUUCAUUUGCUUGAAAUAAACUGACUAAUGUGGGCGUGUCAUUUGUUUUAAUUGCCUCUAUAAGCUUAAUAUCCAUUUCCUCAA